RNAcentral lists this transfer RNA (87 nucleotides) under Cryomorphaceae bacterium. RNAcentral describes it as "tRNA-Leu(taa)". It matches the Rfam family "tRNA". From Rfam's summary of the family: Transfer RNA (tRNA) molecules are approximately 80 nucleotides in length. Their secondary structure includes four short double-helical elements and three loops (D, anti-codon, and T loops). Further hydrogen bonds mediate the characteristic L-shaped molecular structure. tRNAs have two regions of fundamental functional importance: the anti-codon, which is responsible for specific mRNA codon recognition, and the 3' end, to which the tRNAs corresponding amino acid is attached (by aminoacyl-tRNA synthetases). tRNAs cope with the degeneracy of the genetic code in two manners: having more than one tRNA (with a specific anti-codon) for a particular amino acid; and 'wobble' base-pairing, i.e. permitting non-standard base-pairing at the 3rd anti-codon position. RNAcentral also lists the same sequence under 2 other names. The record is from RNAcentral. Lineage: Bacteria; Pseudomonadati; Bacteroidota; Flavobacteriia; Flavobacteriales; Cryomorphaceae.
GCCCCGGUGGUGGAAUUGGUAGACACGCCGGACUUAAAAUCCUGUGGACAGUAAUGUCCGUGCCGGUUCGACCCCGGCCCGGGGCAC